GACGUAGGGCGCGAGCGUUGUCCGGAUUUAUUGGGCGUAAAGAGAUCGUAGGCGGCUUGUCGCGUCGGCUGUGAAAACCCGCGGCUCAACUGUGGGCGGGCAGCUGAUACGGGCAGGCUGGAGUUCGGUAGGGGAGACUGGAAUUCCUGGUGUAGCGGUGAAAUGCGCAGAUAUCAGGAGGAACACCGGUGGCGAAGGCGGGUCUCUGGACAGUUCCUGACACUGAGGCACGAAGGCCAGGGGAGCAAACGGG
Molecule: ribosomal RNA, 253 nt
Filed under: uncultured bacterium
Lineage: Bacteria
Description: partial 16S ribosomal RNA
Rfam family: Bacterial small subunit ribosomal RNA
Source: RNAcentral